This is a long non-coding RNA of Macrobrachium nipponense, 721 nucleotides long. RefSeq lists it as uncharacterized. The transcript is spliced from 3 exons. The record is from RefSeq and is a predicted model, not a curated record. NCBI's taxonomy places the organism in Eukaryota, Metazoa, Arthropoda, Malacostraca, Decapoda, Palaemonidae.
UUGAUAUUGAAACUGCUCUUGUAAUGGCACAGUUAGAAUGUGGAAUAAAUCACCGUUUGAUCUCUGAUGCGAGAAGGUUGCUUCCUUUAUAAGUCAAGUUGCUAAGGCUUUAGCUGAAGCUCCAUACAAGCGAGAAAAAGAAGAUGCCACCUUUCUUGGUUUGCUGAAGGAAGCAGCAUAAACACCGUUAAAGUGGAUAAGGCAGGUGUUGGAUUGUUAAAGCUCUGGCGACAACAGCUGCAGCAGUCCAUCAAUGUAGGCAAUGAGGUUGCACAGGCAAUUGUGAGGGAAUAUCCAUCACCUCAAGCUCUGGUUCAAGCUUACAGGCAUUCUACUUCAGAAAAAGAAGCAUCCCACUUGCUUGCUGAUAUUCCUGUGAGACGAGGCAUAGGGCCACUUGAAUCUACUCGACGUAUAGGACCAGAGCUGUCAAAGAAGAUACAUUUAUUUUUUACUUGUACAGAUCCCAGUGUGAACUUAGGACAGAAAACAUGAUUUAUGUAAGAAGCAAUUAGUGUGAUUAUCACUUCUUAAUACUUAAUUUCUGUAGUAUGUUGUUUCCUUUGGUUAGGUUUCCAAAUGUUUUUAUACUAGGUUAAACUGACAGUAUGAUUUCAUGUACAGAUAUAUGUUUUUCAUUUUUAAUUAGGGAAUAAUAAUAUUUUAUAUCCGUUCAUAUCAUAUAUUUACCCUUAGAUGAAAAGAACCCUACCUGUAUGCG